AAGCAGGAAUCCGAAAAGGCGUAAAUAGAGUAGGAA
Non-coding RNA from Spinacia oleracea (spinach), 36 nucleotides. Lineage: Eukaryota; Viridiplantae; Streptophyta; Magnoliopsida; Caryophyllales; Amaranthaceae. The record is from Rfam.